AUGGAGUGGGAUCACCAGUAUGGAAGCAAAUUGAAACACUCUAAUGGGAUGGGGCAAACCACAAUUAACCCUAUUUGGAGUAAGAUAUGGAAGUUAGCUUGUCCGGCAAAAGUUAAAAUUUUCUUAUGGCGUACGCUACAUGGUACAAUCCCAUGCCGAGUUACGCUAGCAAACAGACAUAUGAAGGUUUCACCCAUCUGCCCCACGUGCUUGGAGGGUUUAGAAGAUACAAAACAUACGCUCUUCCGUUGUAGUAAAGCAAAGGAGGUCUGGAAAAGGCUGGGGAUGGAUGAUAUUAUUGAUAAAGCAUGUGAAGUUGACCGCGUGGGAGAGGCGGUGUUGGAGUAUCUACUACUCCUACCAGAUCAACAUUUGUGGAUAUUGGGUUACCACAAUGUACGUGAGAUGAUUGCUAUUUCAGCACGGUAUCUAUGGUGGGAAAGACGGAAGCUGGUACACAAUGAAAAACUCAAAAUGUAA
This 480-nucleotide ribosomal RNA is filed under the name Triticum aestivum (bread wheat). RNAcentral's name for it is "partial small subunit ribosomal RNA". Lineage: Eukaryota; Viridiplantae; Streptophyta; Magnoliopsida; Poales; Poaceae. The record is from RNAcentral.